UACGCAGGGACCGAGCGUUGUCCGGAUUCAUUGGGCGUAAAGAGCUCGUAGGCGGCUGCUCAAGUCGAAUGUGAAAACUCGAGGCUCAACCUCGAGCCUGCAUUCGAUACUGGGCGGCUAGAGUCUGGUAGGGGGAUCUGGAAUUCCUGGUGUAGCGGUGAAAUGCGCAGAUAUCAGGAGGAACACCGGUGGCGAAGGCGGGACUCUGGGCCGAUACUGACGCUGAGGAGCGAAAGCGUGGGGAGCGAACAGG
This 253-nucleotide ribosomal RNA is filed under the name uncultured bacterium. RNAcentral describes it as "partial 16S ribosomal RNA". It matches the Rfam family "Bacterial small subunit ribosomal RNA", at positions 524 to 776 of the family's 1533-position model. The record is from RNAcentral.